This 698-nucleotide ribosomal RNA is filed under the name uncultured Methanosaeta sp. Its description in RNAcentral is "bacterial SSU rRNA". It matches the Rfam family "Archaeal small subunit ribosomal RNA", at positions 1 to 705 of the family's 1478-position model. The record is from RNAcentral. Lineage: Archaea; Methanobacteriati; Methanobacteriota; Methanomicrobia; Methanotrichales; Methanotrichaceae.
UUCCGGUCGAUCCUGGCGGAGGUUACUGCUAUCGGGGUUCGACUAAGCCAUGCGAGUCGAAUGUAGCAAUACAUGGCGUACUGCUCAGUAACACGUGGACAACCUACCCUCCGGACGGGGAUAAACCCGGGAAACUGGGUAUAAUACCCGAUAGAUCUCGGCUGCUGGAAUGCAUCGAGCUCUAAAGCUCCGGCGCCUGAGGAUGGGUCUGCGGCCUAUCAGGUAGUAGUGGGUGUAGCGUACCUACUAGCCUACGACGGGUACGGGUUGUGAGAGCAAGAGCCCGGAGAUGGAUUCUGAGACACGAAUCCAGGCCCUACGGGGUGCAGCAGGCGCGAAAACUUUACAAUGCCGGCAACGGCGAUAAGGGGACCUCGAGUGCCAGGUUACAAAUCUGGCUGUCGUGAUGCCUAAAAAGCAUUGCAUAGCAAGGGCCGGGCGAGACCGGUGCCAGCCGCCGCGGUAACACCGGCGGCUCGAGUGGUAACCGUUAUUAUUGGGUCUAAAGGGUCUGUAGCCGGCCGGAUAAGUCUCUUGGGAAAUCCAGCAGCUCAACUGUUGGGCUUUCAGGAGAUACUGUCUGGCUCGAGGCCGGGAGAGGUGAGAGGUACUUCAGGGGUAGGGGUGAAAUCUUGUAAUCCUUGAAGGACCACCAGUGGCGAAGGCGUCUCACCAGAACGGACCUGACGGCAAGGGAC